GCGGCGGGCUUAACACAUGCAAGUCGAACGAACGAACCAACUUCGGUUGGUAAGUGAGUGGCGCACGGGUGAGUAACACGUAGGUAACGUGUCCCGGAACGGGGGAUAACAGGCCGAAAGGCCUGCUAAUACCGCAUAAGACCCCAGCAUCUUCGGAUGCAGAGGUAAAAGGUGGGGAUCUCUUCGGAGACCUGCCAUUCCGGGAGCGGCCUGCGGCCCAUUAGUUCGUAGGUGAGGUAACGGCUCACCUAGACUUUGAUGGGUAGCUGGUCUGAGAGGACGAUCAGCCACACCGGGACUGAGACACGGCCCAGACUCCUACGGGAGGCAGCAGUAGGGAAUAUUGGACAAUGGGGGCA
RNAcentral lists this ribosomal RNA (359 nucleotides) under Deltaproteobacteria bacterium. RNAcentral describes it as "bacterial SSU rRNA". It matches the Rfam family "Bacterial small subunit ribosomal RNA", at positions 39 to 379 of the family's 1533-position model. The record is from RNAcentral. Lineage: Bacteria; Pseudomonadati; Myxococcota; Myxococcia.